AACGUAGGAGACGAGCGUUAUCCGGAUUUACUGGGCGUAAAGCGUGUGCAGGCGGUUCGGCAAGUUGGAUGUGAAAUCUCCCGGCUCAACUGGGAGGGGUCGUUCAAUACUACCGAACUUGAGGUCAUCAGAGGAAGGUGGAAUUCCGGGUGUAGUGGUGAAAUGCGUAGAGUAUCCGGAGGAACACCAGAGGCGAAGGCGGCCUGCCUGGGCUGCACCGACGCUGGAGC
RNAcentral lists this ribosomal RNA (230 nucleotides) under uncultured bacterium. RNAcentral's name for it is "partial 16S ribosomal RNA". It matches the Rfam family "Bacterial small subunit ribosomal RNA", at positions 524 to 752 of the family's 1533-position model. The record is from RNAcentral.